UGGGUAAUAUUGCACAAUGGGCGAAAGCCUGAUGCAGCGACGCCGCGUGAGGGAUGACGGCCUUCGGGUUGUAAACCUCUUUCAGCAGGGACGAAGCGCAAGUGACGGUACCUGCAGAAGAAGCACCGGCUAACUACGUGCCAGCAGCCGCGGUAAUACGUAGGGUGCAAGCGUUGUCCGGAAUUACUGGGCGUAAAGAGUUCGUAGGCGGUUUGUCGCGUCGUUUGUGAAAACCAGCAGCUCAACUGCUGGCUUGCAGGCGAUACGGGCAGACUUGAGUACUGCAGGGGAGACUGGAAUUCCUGGUGUAGCGGUGAAAUGCGCAGAUAUCAGGAAGAACACCGGUGGCGAAGGCGGGUCUCUGGGCAGUAACUGACGCUGAGGAACGAAAGCGUGGGUAGCGAACAGG
This 409-nucleotide ribosomal RNA is filed under the name bacterium. Its description in RNAcentral is "partial 16S ribosomal RNA". It matches the Rfam family "Bacterial small subunit ribosomal RNA", at positions 355 to 776 of the family's 1533-position model. The record is from RNAcentral.